GUGGGGGAUAUUGCACAAUGGGGGGAACCCUGAUGCAGCAACGCCGCGUGAGGGAAGAAGGUUUUCGGAUUGUAAACCUCUGUCCUAGGUGAAGAUAAUGACGGUAGCCUGGGAGGAAGCUCCGGCUAACUACGUGCCAGCAGCCGCGGUAAUACGUAGGGAGCGAGCGUUGUCCGGAAUUACUGGGUGUAAAGGGUGCGUAGGCGGCAUCACAAGUCAGGCGUGAAAUCUAUGGGCUCAACCCAUAAACUGCGCUUGAAACUGUGGUACUUGAGUGAAGUAGAGGCAGGCGGAAUUCCCGGUGUAGCGGUGAAAUGCGUAGAGAUCGGGAGGAACACCAGUGGCGAAGGCGGCCUGCUGGGCUUUAACUGACGCUGAAGCACGAAAGCGUGGGUAGCAAACAGGA
RNAcentral lists this ribosomal RNA (406 nucleotides) under uncultured bacterium. RNAcentral's name for it is "bacterial SSU rRNA". It matches the Rfam family "Bacterial small subunit ribosomal RNA", at positions 354 to 777 of the family's 1533-position model. The record is from RNAcentral.